AAGUCGUAACAAGGUUUCCGUAGGUGAACCUGCGGAAGGAUCAUUAACACGUAUCCAAACGUUAAAACCCCCCCGUGAACCUUCAUCCUCAUAGCCCGGAAAGUUGUAGUGAUUCAGAGACCUCUGGCUACGUGCGAACAUUGGAACAGUUACAAUCGAGCGGUAGUUCUAUAGGCAAUGUUUCUCCAAGCAGUCAGUGUCGGAAAGUGUCAUUGAUUGUGCAAGGAUAGCGCUUCUACGAUUCCUGUAGACCGUACACUCGGGCAGGAGCUUUGCCAAAGGGUCCCCAUGCCCCCUAAUAACCCCACAGUUUAAUGUGAAGCUCAAUGUAAUACAUUGGGUAAAAAAACCGAACAACUGUUAACAAUGGAUAUCUUGGUUCUC
RNAcentral lists this unclassified non-coding RNA (384 nucleotides) under fungal sp. RNAcentral's name for it is "partial internal transcribed spacer region". The stretch from base 1 to 46 matches the Rfam family "Eukaryotic small subunit ribosomal RNA", at positions 1786 to 1831 of the family's 1831-position model. Lineage: Eukaryota; Fungi. The record is from RNAcentral.